Molecule: non-coding RNA, 21 nt
Filed under: Caenorhabditis elegans
Lineage: Eukaryota; Metazoa; Nematoda; Chromadorea; Rhabditida; Rhabditidae
Source: RNAcentral
UAAUAUUCGAGCACCUGGGGC